CUAAGAAUUAGCAGUCAUGUUCUCACAAAGGUUUUCUGUUGUUAAAGAAUGAUCAGAAGUGUGGAAGAUGACCCAUCCAAAUGAAGAUGCCUGGUGUGGAUUGAAUGGAGAAAAUAGUGAAAAGAAAGGCAGCUGAGGAAUGAAAACAGAAUUUCACUAGUGGGAAACAAAAGAGAAAAGAAAUAUCACUUCAUGAUGUCACAAGGACCAGUUACUCAGUGCUGUGUGCAGCAGGCAUCUGCUCAAAACUUGCAGAACCAGUUUUCCCUCAGCCUGAUGCUUUACCAUGUA
This is a long non-coding RNA of Rhineura floridana, 291 nucleotides long. RefSeq lists it as uncharacterized. The transcript has 3 exons. Lineage: Eukaryota; Metazoa; Chordata; Lepidosauria; Squamata; Rhineuridae. The record is from RefSeq and is a predicted model, not a curated record.